AGUCCAGUCUGUCCAAGUACCAAGUGACACAGUAGGGAUCCAGUUUACUGCUCUGACUGGAAGUUCUGGUAAUUUUGUGGCCGACAGAAUUAAUCUCAACACCAAUACCUCUGAACUGAUAGCUGACAAAGGAGGUGCUACCGAUGUCCAGAUUGUCAUAAAAUUCACACCAGUUUUACGUAAUAAAAACACAAACUACUCCAUUGGUUUUGUGCUCUACCAAAACGACCGGUUCUUCAGGUCCAGG
Coregonus clupeaformis (lake whitefish) is the source of this 247-nucleotide long non-coding RNA. RefSeq lists it as uncharacterized. The record is from RefSeq and is a predicted model, not a curated record. The transcript has 3 exons. NCBI's taxonomy places the organism in Eukaryota, Metazoa, Chordata, Actinopteri, Salmoniformes, Salmonidae.